This 466-nucleotide ribosomal RNA is filed under the name uncultured bacterium. RNAcentral describes it as "partial 16S ribosomal RNA". It matches the Rfam family "Bacterial small subunit ribosomal RNA", at positions 28 to 507 of the family's 1533-position model. The record is from RNAcentral.
GAUGAACGCUGGCGGCGUGCUUAACACAUGCAAGUCGAACGGUGAAGCCCAUCUUGCUGGGUGGAUGAGUGGCGAACGGGUGAGUAACACGUGAGUAACCUGCCCUUAACUCUGGGAUAAGCCUGGGAAACUGGUUCUACUACCGGAGAGCAGCGUCCACCGCAUGGGGGGCGCUGGACAUAUGUCUCGGGUUUGGAUGGACUCGCGGCCUAGCAGCUGGUUGGUGAGGAACUGGCUCACCAAGGCGACGGAGGGUAGCCGGCCUGAGAGGGUGACCGGGCACCAUGGGACUGAGACACGGCGCAGACUCCAACGGGAGGCAGUAGUGGAGAACAUUGUACAACGGGGGCGCGUGUAAUGUAGAGACGCCGCGUGUGGGAUGACGGCCUUUGGGUUGCAAAACGAUUUCAGCAAGGAAGAAGCGACAGUGACGGUACCGUAAGAAGAAGCACCGGCUAACUACGUG